This 460-nucleotide ribosomal RNA is filed under the name uncultured bacterium. RNAcentral describes it as "partial 16S ribosomal RNA". It matches the Rfam family "Bacterial small subunit ribosomal RNA", at positions 338 to 795 of the family's 1533-position model. The record is from RNAcentral.
CCUACGGGUGGCUGCAGUGAGGAAUAUUGGUCAAUGGGCUUACGCCUGAACCAGCCAAGUCGCGUGAGGGAAGCCUGCCCUAUGGGUUGUAAACCUCUUUUGUCAGGGAGCAACGCCGGCUACGUGUAGCCGGACUGAGAGUACCUGAAGAAAAAGCAUCGGCUAACUCCGUGCCAGCAGCCGCGGUAAUACGGAGGAUGCGAGCGUUAUCCGGAUUUAUUGGGUGUAAGGGGUGCGUAGGCGGAAGGUUAAGUCAGCGGUCAAAUGUCGGUGCUCAACACCGGCCUGCCGUUGAAACUGGGCUUCUUGAGUGAGCGAGAAGUAUGCGGAAUGCGUGGUGUAGCGGUGAAAUGCAUAGAUAUCACGCAGAACUCCGAUUGCGAAGGCAGCAUACCGGCGCUCAACUGACGCUGAGGCACGAAAGCGUGGGGAUCGAACAGGAUUAGAUACCCGGGUAGUC